RNAcentral lists this ribosomal RNA (520 nucleotides) under uncultured Scutellospora. RNAcentral's name for it is "SSU rRNA". It matches the Rfam family "Eukaryotic small subunit ribosomal RNA", at positions 569 to 1094 of the family's 1831-position model. The record is from RNAcentral. Lineage: Eukaryota; Fungi; Glomeromycota; Glomeromycetes; Diversisporales; Gigasporaceae.
AGCAGCCGCGGUAAUUCCAGCUCCAAUAGCGUAUAUUAAAGUUGUUGCAGUUAAAAAGCUCGUAGUUGAAUUUCGGGGUUCCACCGUUGGUCGGGCUAUUGUCUGUACUGGCGUGUGGAAUUUCUACCUUCUGGGGAACUAUCAUGUUAUUAAUUUAGCGUGGUAGGAAACCAGGACCUUUACCUUGAAAAAAUUAGAGUGUUCAAAGCAGGCUUAUGCCUGAAUACAUUAGCAUGGAAUAAUAAAAUAGGACGGUGGUCCUGUUUUGUUGGUUUCUGAAUCACCGUAAUGAUUAAUAGGGAUAGUUGGGGGCAUUAGUAUUCAAUUGUCAGAGGUGAAAUUCUUGGAUUUAUUGAAGACUAACUACUGCGAAAGCAUUUGCCAAGGAUGUUUUCAUUAAUCAAGAACGAAAGUUAGGGGAUCGAAGACGAUCAGAUACCGUCGUAGUCUUAACCAUAAACUAUGCCGACUAGGGAUCGGACGAUGUUAACUUUUCUUGACUCGUUCGGCGCCUUACGGG